This 400-nucleotide ribosomal RNA is filed under the name uncultured bacterium. RNAcentral's name for it is "bacterial SSU rRNA". It matches the Rfam family "Bacterial small subunit ribosomal RNA", at positions 29 to 416 of the family's 1533-position model. The record is from RNAcentral.
AAUCAACGCUGGCGGCGUGCCUAACACAUGCAAGUCGAACGCGAAAGCCCCGAAAGGGGUGAGUAGAGUGGCAAACGGGUGAGUAACACGUGGGUGACCUGCCUUCGAGCGGGGGAUAACGUCCCGAAAGGGACGCUAAUACCGCAUGACAUCCUGCCUUUGAACAGGUGGAGAUCAAAGCUGGGGAUCGCAAGACCUAGCACUCGAUGAGGGGCCCGCGCCUGAUAGCUAGUUGGUGAGGUAACGGCUCACCAAGGCGACGAUCAGUAUCCGGCCUGAGAGGGCGGACGGACACACUGGGACUGAGACACGGCCCAGACUCCUACGGGAGGCAGCAGUGGGGAAUUGUUCGCAAUGGGCGCAAGCCUGACGACGCAACGCCGCGUGGAGGAUGAAGACC